GAGUGGUUUUUGAGAUUUAAAAUGCUAAUUUUGUCCUUAACUUGAAGGCAAAUAAGAAAUAUUGGUGAUGGUAGAAGGGUAUAUUGAAAAAGAUCAAAAGUCAAAAUACUUUUUGUGUCCCUAACUUUAAGGCAAAUAAGAAAGCCAGUAAUGAUGGAAGGUUAUAUUUGAAAAAGUAAAAUAAAAAUUUUAUAGAAAUAACAUAGUUUAUUAACAAAUUUUAACUCUAGGGGUAUAUUAAAAAUAGGUUGGAAUGUAAAAUGAAUAUUUUCAAUAUUAACCUUCUAAGAGAAGUAAAUUGAAAAGUCGGAAAUUUUUCAGGAAUACAUAAGCAAUUGCCCCUUUAUAGUUCUAUACU
Molecule: long non-coding RNA, 358 nt
Filed under: Ananas comosus (pineapple)
Lineage: Eukaryota; Viridiplantae; Streptophyta; Magnoliopsida; Poales; Bromeliaceae
Description: long non-coding RNA (ACOM_LNC006321)
Source: RNAcentral